GGCGAAGUGCCUGAGUGGUUAUAGGGUUUGACUCGAAUUAACUCGUUAUCAAAUGGCUUCGGCCGCGCAAGUUCGAAUCUUGUCUUCGUCG
Molecule: non-coding RNA, 91 nt
Organism: Colletotrichum sp. SAR 10_75
Lineage: Eukaryota; Fungi; Ascomycota; Sordariomycetes; Glomerellales; Glomerellaceae
Source: the annotation of a GenBank genome assembly